GUGUCAUUCUAAGUAGUAGUGCCGCAGGUGACAACAUUUGAGCUUACCUGUUCUCUGCUACUUAACAUGGCCG
This 73-nucleotide microRNA precursor is filed under the name Thelazia callipaeda (thelaziosis nematode). RNAcentral's name for it is "mir-252 microRNA precursor family". It matches the Rfam family "mir-252 microRNA precursor family". Lineage: Eukaryota; Metazoa; Nematoda; Chromadorea; Rhabditida; Thelaziidae. The record is from Rfam by way of RNAcentral.